GAUGAACGCUGGCGGCGUGCCUAAUACAUGCAAGUCGAGCGAACGGACGAGAAGCUUGCUUCUCUGAUGUUAGCGGCGGACGGGUGAGUAACACGUGGAUAACCUACCUAUAAGACUGGGGUAACUUCGGGAAACCGGAGCUAAUAACGGAUAAUAUUUUGAACCGCAUGGUUCAAAAGUGAAAGGCGGUCUUGCUGUCACUUAUAGAUGGAUCCGGGCUGCAUUAGCUAGUUGGUAAGGUAACGGCUUACCAAGGCAACGAUGCAUAGCCGACCUGAGAGGGUGAUCGGCCACACUGGAACUGAGACACGGUCCAGACUCCUACGGGAGGCAGCAGUAGGGAAUCUUCCGCAAUGGGCGAAAGCCUGACGGAGCAACGCCGCGUGAGUGAUGAAGGUCUUCGGAUCGUAAAACUCUGUUAUUAGGGAAGAACAUAUGUGUAAGUAACUGUGCACAUCUUGACGGUACCUAAUGAGAAAGCCACGGCUAACUACGUG
This 497-nucleotide ribosomal RNA is filed under the name uncultured bacterium. RNAcentral's name for it is "partial 16S ribosomal RNA". It matches the Rfam family "Bacterial small subunit ribosomal RNA", at positions 28 to 507 of the family's 1533-position model. The record is from RNAcentral.